UUGAACUUGAGUUUGUGUCGUGUUUGAAGUUUGUGGCAACUUAUGAACUUGAGUUUGUUUGGCUUGAUUUUUUGGCAAAUGUUGAACUUGAGUCUAUGGUUUUUAGUGAACUUUAGUUGGUGGCAAUUGUUGAACUUUUGUUUGUGGCGUUCGUUGAACUUGAGUUUGUGGUGUUCAUUGAACUUGAGUUUGUGGCAUAUUUGAACUUGAGUUUAUUAUGUUUUUUGAACUUGAGGUUCUGGUGUUUUCUAACUUAAGUUUGUGGAAAUUGUUGAACUUGAGGAUCGGGUGUUGCUUGAACUUGACUUGUUGUGUUUGUUGAACUUGAGUUUGUGGUGUUUGUUGAACUUGAGUUUGUGUGGUGUUUUUGAACUUGAGUUUGUGAAGUGUUUGAACUUGAGUUUGUGUUUUUUUUAACCUUGAGGUUGUGGCAAUUGUUAAACUUGAGAAUCGGGUGGUGGUUGAACUUGAGUUUGUGGUGUUCAUUGAACUUGAGUUUGUGGCAUAUUUGAACUUGAGUUUAUCAUGUUUUUUGAACUAGAGGUUCUGGUGUUUUUUAACUUAAGUUUGUGGAAAUUGUUGAACUUGAGGAUCGGGUGUUGCUUGAACUUGACUUGUUGUGUUUGUUGAACUUGAGUUUUAGUCCUUGAGCCAAGAACCAAAAUUUCACAUAUCGGUACCACCUAGGUGGGCAAAUUCUAGUUGUGAUUUUUUUAUACAUCCCUACAAUAAGUUUUUAUUUGAUAGACCUUGGUAACAGGUAGCUUUAUUGUAGUUAUUACUCAUUGAAGUAAUAGAGUGCAGCUGUUCAAAAACGAAAAAUCGCCUUCCUUCAAAAUGAGCUUUCUUUCAUUUUAACCUCUCAUUUAGGUGUGUUUGAACUAUUGGCUAGCCAUAGAGACUUGUAUUAACCCCCUAAGUAGUAUUUCAAGUAAUUUAUCUAAUACAGGUGUGUAUAUAUAAGCUUCAAUUAGCUAAUUGUCAGGUCUAAAUCAAGGUCUAAAUUAAGGAUAUUUUUUGACUUAGAAAUAGAAAUAAAAUAAAUGCAGACUAAUAGCAUUAUAAUAACACAACUUUAAUAUGACACUGACAUAUUUUAAAUGUAGGCACUCAAUAUACAAUCAUCCUGGCUGGUGCAGGGCAAGAAGACAUUAGCAACAAAAUAAGAUCUACUGAUGUAUACACUCUAUACAAUCAUCUGAGAAAAACUCCAAUUCCUAUUCAAAGUCCUAUUCUUUCCAUAAGGAACAGUGACGGCAAAUAUGGCUUAGCACAUAAUUCUGUCACUGAGUCACAGUGGGUCUGCUAACAUAGCUCCCUUUGGUCAUCACUUAUUAAUCAACAUCAGUAAUCGACAUCAGUAUCUGUAUCUUCUUCUACAUCUGAAUCUGCCGGUGUGCAAGGGGCUCUUCCUCACUGUACUGGUUGGCACAAGUUUGUAAUUUGCACAGGUUUGUGCACUUCAGCCCAUUGCUGAGACAGGUGCAGUCUGGUGGUUUGCAUGUCCUCACACACUUCAGUUUGUGGUGUUUUUGAACUUCAGUUUGUGGCACUUUUUUAACUUUUAAGUUUUUGGCAAUUGUUAAAUGUGAGUUUAGGUCAUUUGUUGAACUUGAAAUUUUGGAAUUUGUUGAACUUAAGAUUGUGGUGUUUGUUGAACUUGAGUUUGUGGCAAUUGUUGAACUUGAGUCUGUAUUUUUCUCUGAACUUUAGUUGGUGGCAAUUGUUGAACUUGAGUUUGUGGUGUUUUUGCACCUGAGUUUGUGUCGUGUUUGAACUUGAGUUUGUGUUGUUUUUGAACUAGAGGUUGUGGCAAUUGUUAAACUUGAGAUUUGGGUCUUGGUUGAACUUGAGUUUGUGGUGUUUUUUGGACUUGAGUUUGUGUCGUGUUUGAAUUUUAGUUUGUGUGUUUUUUUAUCUUAAGUUUGUGGCAAUUAAUGAACUUGAGUUUGUUGAACUUGAGUUUGUGGUCUUUGUUGAACUUGAGUUUGUGGUUUUUAGUGAACUGUAGUUGGUGGCAUCUUUGAACUUGAGUUUGUAGCAUUUGUUGAACUUGAGUUUGUGAUGUGUUUGAACUUGUGUUUGUGGAAUUUGUUGAACCUGAGUUUGUGUCGUGUUUGGUUUUUUGAACUUGAGGUUGUGGAAAUUGUUAAACUUGAGACUUGGGAUUUGGUUGAACUUGAGUUUGUGUCAUGUUUGAACUUGAGUUUGUGAUGUGUUUGAACUUGUGUUUGUGGAAUUUGUUGAACUUGAGUUUGUGUCGUGUUUGAACUUGAGUUUGUGGUGUUUUUGAACUUGAGUUUGUGUCGUGUUUGAACUUGAGUUUGUGUCGUGUUUGAACUUGAGGUUGUGGCAAUUGUUAAACUUGAGAUUUGGGUGUUGGUUGAACUUGAGAUUGUGCCUUUUUUUGAAUUUGAGUUUGUGGCAUGUUUGAACUUGAGUUUCUGUUGUUUUUGAACUUGAGGUUGUGGAAAUUGUUAAACUUGAGGUUUGGGUGUUGGUUGAUCUUGAGUUUGUGUCUUGUUUGAACUUUUGUUUUUGGAUUUUUUGAACUAGAGUUUGUGUGUUUUUUGAACAUAAGAUUGUGGCAACUUAUGAACUUGAGUAUGUUGAAAUUAAGUUUGUGGCAAAUGUUGCACUUGAGUUUGUGGUUUUUUUUACUUGAGUUUGUGUCGUGUUUUUGAACUUGAGUUUGUGGUGUUUUUGAACUUGAGUUUGUUUUGUGUUUGAAAUUGAGUUUGUGGUGUUUUUGAACUUGAGUUUGUGUGUUUUUGAACUUGAGUUUGUGGUGUUUUUGAACUUCAGUUUGUGGCACUUUUUUAACUUGAGUUUGUUGAACUUUAGUUUUUGGCAAUUGUUAAAUGUGAGUUAAGGUUGAACUUGAAAUUUUGGAAUUUGUUGAACUUAAGAAUGUGGUGUUUGUUGAACUUGAGUUUGUGGCAAUUGUUGAACUUGAGUUUUUGCGUGUUUGAACUUGAGUUAGUGGUGUUUUUGAACUUGAGGUUUUGGCAAAUGUUAAACUUGAUAUUUGGGUGUUGUUUGAACUUGAGUUUGUGUCGUGUUUGAACUUGAAUUUGUGUCGUGUUUGAACUUGAGUUUGUGUCGUGUUUGAACUUGAGGUUGUGGCAAUUGUUAAACUUGAGAUUUGGGUGUUGGUUGAACUUGAGAUUGUGCCUUUUUUUGAAUUUGAGUUUGUGGCAUGUUUGAACUUGAGUUUCUGUUGUUUUUGAACUUGAGGUUGUGGAAAUUGUUAAACCUGAGAUUUGGGUGUUGAUUGAACUUGAGUUUUUUGUUGUGUUUUAACUUGAGUUUGUGGUGUUUUUGAAAUUGAGUUUGUGGCGUGUUUGAACUUGAAUUCGUGGUGUUUUAGAACUUUAGUUUGUGUGUUUGUUGAACUUGAGUUUUUGGCGUGUUUUAACUUGAGUUUGUGGUGUUUUUGAAGUUGAGGUUGUGGCAAUUUUAAAACUAGAGACUUGGGUGUUGGUUGAAAUUCAGUUUUUGGCCUUAUUUGAACUUGAGUUUUUGUCGUGCUUGAACUUGAGUUUGUGGCGUGUUUUUGAACUUGAGUUUGUCUGUAUGUUGAAAUUGAGUUUUUGGCGUGUUUGAACUUGAGUUUGUUUUGUUUUUGAACUUGAGGUUUUUGAAAUUGUUUAACUUAAGAAUUGGGUAUUGAUUGAACUUGAGUUUGUGUGUUUGUUGAACUUUAGUUUGUGUCAUUUAGAACUUAAGUUUGUGGUGUUUUUGAACUUGAAGAUCUUGAAAUUGUUAAACCUGAGAAUUGGGUAAUGGUAAAACUUGAGAUUUGGGAUUAGGUUGAACUAUAGUUUGUGUCCUGUUUGAACUUGAGAUUGUGGUGUUUUUGAACUUGAAUUUUUUUUUUUAACUUGAGUUUGUGGAGUUUUUGAAUUUGAGUUUCUGUUGUCUUUGAACUUGAAGUUGUUGCAAUUGUUAAACUUGAGAUUUGGGUGUUGGUUGAACUUCAGAUUCGGUGUUGUAGUGUUUUUGAACUUGAAUUUGUGUGUUUUUUGAACUUGAGUUUGUUGCAAUUUUUGAACUUGAGUUUGUUAAACGUGAGUUUUUGGCAAUUGUUAAAUGUGAGUUUAGGUCAUUCGUUGAAUUUGAAAUGUUGGCAUUUUUUGAACUUAAGAUUGUGGUGUUUGUUGAACUUGAGUUUGUGGCGUGUUUGAACUUGAGUUUGUGUCGUGUUUGAACUUUAGUUACUGUUGUUUUUUCACUUGAGGUUGUGGCAAUUGUUAAACUUAAGAUUAGGGUGCUGGUUUAACUUGAGUUUGUGUCCUGUUUGAACUUGAGUUUGUUUGUUGGUCUAACUUGAGUUUUUGGCGUGUUUUAACUUGAGUUACUGUUGUUUUUUAACUUGAGGUUGUGGCAAUUGUUAAACUUGAGAUUUGUGUGUUUGUUUAAUUGAGUUUGUGGCGUGUUUUAACUUGAGUUUCUGUUGUUUUUGAACUUAAGUUUUUGUGAUUUUUUGAACUUGAGUUGUGGUGUUUUUGAACUUGAGUUUGUAGCGUUUGUUGAACUUGAGUUUGUUGCGUGCUUUAACUUGAAUUUUUUUUGUUUUUUAACUUGAGGUUUUGGCAACUGUUAAACUUUAGAUUUGGGUUGGUUGAACUUGAGUUUCUGUUGUAUUUGAACUUAAGUUUUUGUGAUUUUUGAACUUGAGUUUGUGUGUUUUUGAACUUGAGUUUUGUGUUUUUUGAACUUGAGUUUGUGGUGUUUUUGAACUUGAGUUUUG
This 4753-nucleotide long non-coding RNA is filed under the name Xyrichtys novacula (pearly razorfish). The record is from RNAcentral. Lineage: Eukaryota; Metazoa; Chordata; Actinopteri; Labriformes; Labridae.